AGAGUUUGAUCCUGGCUCAGAUUGAACGCUGGCGGAAUGCUUUACACAUGCUAGUCGAACGGCAGCACGGACUUCGGUCUGGUGGCGAGUGGCGAACGGGUGAGUAAUAUAUCGGAACGUAUCCAAUAAUGGGGGAUAACUAAUCGAAAGGUUGGCUAAUACCGCAUACGCCCUACGGGGGAAAGCAGGGGAUCUUCGGACCUUGCGUUAAUGGAGCGGCUGAUAUCUGAUUAGCUAGUUGGUGAGGUAAAGGCUCACCAAGGCGACGAUCAGUAGCUGGUCUGAGAGGACGACCAGCCACACUGGAACUGAGACACGGUCCAGACUCCUACGGGAGGCAGCAGUGGGGAAUUUUGGACAAUGGGCGCAAGCCUGAUCCAGCCAUUCCGCGUGAGUGAAGAAGGCCUUCGGGUUGUAAAGCUCUUUCGCAAGGGAAGAAAACUUACUUUUUAAUAAAGAGUGAGGUUGACGGUACCUUGAUAAGAAGCACCGGCUAACUACGUGCCAGCAGCCGCGGUAAUACGUAGGGUGCGAGCGUUAAUCGGAAUUACUGGGCGUAAAGCGUGCGCAGGCGGUUUUGUAAGUCAGAUGUGAAAUCCCCGAGCUCAACUUGGGAACUGCGUUUGAAACUACAAGACUAGAAUAUGUCAGAGGGGGGUAGAAUUCCACGUGUAGCAGUGAAAUGCGUAGAGAUGUGGAGGAAUACCAAUGGCGAAGGCAGCCCCCUGGGAUAAUAUUGACGCUCAUGCACGAAAGCGUGGGGAGCAAACAGGAUUAGAUACCCUGGUAGUCCACGCCCUAAACGAUGUCUACUAGUUGUUGGUGGAGUAAAAUCCAUGAGUAACGCAGCUAACGCGUGAAGUAGACCGCCUGGGGAGUACGGUCGCAAGAUUAAAACUCAAAUGAAUUGACGGGGGCCCGCACAA
This 926-nucleotide ribosomal RNA is filed under the name uncultured bacterium. Its description in RNAcentral is "bacterial SSU rRNA". It matches the Rfam family "Bacterial small subunit ribosomal RNA", at positions 8 to 928 of the family's 1533-position model. The record is from RNAcentral.